UUCUUCUUUGAGUGAUUGCUCAUGUGUAUUCCACAAUGGGCGAUUCCAAGCUAUACCUGCUGGAGGUGGGUAGGAGUUCCCAAGUUCUCAAGACGGAGUACCGCCCUGCUGAACCCGGCAUCAUCCCUGGUUUGGGAGACUAUCGCAUAGUGCGAGGUGAACGUGUGAACCGAAGACCACGUGGCGGCCAUACAAAUGACCUGUAUAGGGACGUGGGCCACGAAGGCAGCCGACGAAGCCUGCGCUCGAGUCGAGUGCACCCUCACAAUGGGCAGCGGGAGGACACCUGUCAGCUCAUAACAGGAAUGGAUGCACGAAGUGAUCCAGUUGGAAAGCCGCUGAGUGGAAAUCGGUUGGCCUCUCGAGCGCUCAGCUGAGGCGAAAAACAGUUGCAGGGACUUUCUGAACGGCUUGGUCCACUCGAGGUAGAAAGCCUGAGCCCGCCUCACAUCAAGCAUGUGGAGACGGCGCUCCUCACUAGUCACGUGAGACUUGGGGCAGAGGACUGGAAGAAAAAAGUGUCCUGACCCAUGUGGUAGGCGGAGAUCACCUUCGGGAGGAACUCGGGGUAUGGGCGGAGCUGGAGCUUGUCCUUAUGAAAGACCGUAUACGGCGGCUCGGAGGUCAGGGCCCUGAGCUCCGAGACCUGCCUGGCCAAUGUGAUAGCAACCAGGAAAGCCACCUUCCACGAGAGGUGAGACCAGGAACACGUGGCUAACAGUUCAAAUGGGGCCCCUGUAAGACGAGCUAGCACUAGAUUCAGAUCCCAUUGUGGGACCAGAGGCUUAGAGUAUGGGUAAAGCCAGUCCAAACCCUUAAGGAACCGGCAGUCAUAGCACGGGAGAACACAGAGUGUCAUUGCACCGGGGGAUGGAAAGCCGAUAUGGCCACCAGGUGCACCUUGACUGAUGAGGGCGCCAGGCCCCGGGCCCUCAGGUGGAGGAGGUAAUCAAGGAUAAGCUGGACUGGGGCGGCUGUCGGGGACACACCUUGGUCUGCCGCCCACCUAGAAAACCGAGACCACUUUGCCAUGUAGGCGCGCAGUCUACUUUCGAGGAAGACGCGCUGAACUUGUUCUGAGCAUGUCCUUUCCUCGCCACCUAGCUACUGAGCAGCCACACUGAGGUGAAGAGCUGCCAGGUUGGGGUGGAGGAGGCGGCCCUGGUCCUGAGAGAGCAGGUCCGGGCGGAGUGGCAAUGGCCACGGCGGAGUCACCGCCAGCCCGAGAGGGUCCCGUACCAGUGCUGCCUGGGCCACGCUGGGGCAAUGAGGAGGACCCUGGCUUUGUCUGUCUUUAUUUUCUCCAGGACCCUGCUCAUCAGAGGGAAUGGGGAAAAAGGCGUAGAGAAGCUGGCCUGACCAGGAUAGAAUAAAGGCAUCAGAGAUAGCGCCCUUCCCUAGGCCCGCCCCGGAGCAGAACCGGGGGCAUCGUCGGUUCUGCCGGGUCGCAAAUAGGUCUACCUGGGGAGUUCCCCACCUUCAGAAGAGCUAGUGGGCCACUUCCGGGUGUAGAGACCACUUGUGCUGAGAGGAAAAGUCUCUGCUCAAGUGAUCUGCCCUCACGUUCUGGGCGCCUGGCAGGAGAAAGGCUUUUAGGUGGAUGUCGUGGGCUAUACAGAAGUCCCACAGACUGAGGGCUUCGUGGCAGAGGAUUGGGCCCCACCUUGCCGGUUGAUAUAGAACAUUGAGGCCAUAUUGUCCGUGAGGAUCCUGACUACCUUGCCCUUCAGAUGUGAGCGGAAGGCCAUACAUGACGGUCACACUGCCCUGAGUUGACAUUUAUAUGAAGGGUCAGGUCUUGCAAAAACCACAGGCCUUGGGUCUGAAAAUUCCCCAUAUGUAGCCCCCAGCCCAGGUCCGGUGCAUCAGACACCAGCUCCAACGACAGGGCCCUGUCCCUGAACAGGACCCCUUGGAGCAUGUUGCUUGGGGCGGACCACCACCGCAGGGAGGUGAUCACCAAGUUCGGCAUGGUGAGGACCUUGUCUAUUCUGUCCGUGGUCUGGGAGAACUUCGAGGCCAGCCAGAGCUGGAGGGGCCUCAUCCUGAGUCUGGCGUGGCGGACCACAUACGUGAACGCCGACAUGUGACCUAGCAGCUGCAGGCAAGCCCCGGCUGUCGUCACUGGGAACCUUGCAAUUGAGUUGAUGAGCCCUUUCAGGGUCUCGAACCUGUCUGGGGGGGAGAGAGGCCCUGGCCGACGUUGCGUCCAGGAGCACCCUGAUAAACUCUAUGCGUUGGACCAGGACUAACAUGGACUUGGUGUUGUUUACCAACAGGCCCAGGGCAGUGCAUGUGGACAGGAGGAGUGCCACAUGAUCCCUCACCUGUGAUCGGGAGUUGCCCUUGACCAGCCAGUCGUCCAGACACGGGAAUAUCUGGACCCCCCGGUGCCUGAGGUAGAAUGCCAAUGCUCAUCUGAUGUCGAGAGAACAAAGACUCCUCUACUCGCUGGACGCGUGAGGCAAAGAAUAUCAGUAAAGCAAAUCAACUGGUUUAUGUAGACCUUGGAAGUUACCUACAGGAUGAAUUUGGGUGAAGGCAAAGGAAUACCUUCUCUUUAUGAAAUGUAGGUGUAUGACAGGUAGACCAUGAGGGCCUCCAGCUCACCUUCUCUCCUGGCCAACAUAAUGGUCCUCUGGAAGGCAACCUUCAUAGAAGAUGGGACCUCAAGAACAUGGUCGACGGUUUGAAAGAUGGCCUGUUAAGUGUUGAAGCAAUCUGGCUUUAGACCUAGGCAUAACACAAAAGACGGCACAUAUUCCUUUGAUUGAUGGAAGAUGGCAGAGCUGCAACUCAAAAAUAUAUCUUAAUCUCCCUUAAUUGCCUUGCACAUGUCGAACAGAGGUGGAUGGGAACAUGGGACACUACAGUUAUGAGCCAUUGAGGAAAAUGUAUAAUAGCCCAUCAAGGACCUUUGGAUCCUCCUCAAAAGAGUAUGGUUUGCCAACUGAUCAAAAUGUUGUGUUUUAUUUUGUUUAAUGAAGAUGGGAACAAUAUACACACAUUAAAAAUAAAUGGUUUUCUCUGAAUUUUCUGGUCUCAAAUACUCCAAAAAUUGAUAUUAACUAUAUAUCCUCAAAUGAAAAAAAAGUUCAAAUUCAUAACAUGUACUUGUUUUUGAAAUAUGCAAAUCAAUAUGUCCUCAUUAGAAACUGAAUAAAUUGCCUAAAACAGAUUAUGUUCAAAGUAAGAUGAGUUAUAUUUACAACACACACAUCUGAACCUAAAAAUUUCAAAAUUUGGGGACAUUAAGUUCCAAACAGGAAAGAAUUCUUAAUCCCAAACCUAAGCAUCUGAAACUAUAUAAAACAGUAGCGUAAAUCCAAACUCAACUUUUAAGCCUAACUAGUAUAGUUAGAGCUUUUUGUCUAUUUAUUGAGAUAUUAUUUAUUCAAUUUCUUGUACAUUACAGGAAACUACAUCGUGCAUUUAAUAAGAAAGAUGAUACACUGGUUAUCCUGUCAUUCAAUUUAUAUCGGCUCACCUGCCAA
This is a non-coding RNA of Chrysemys picta bellii (western painted turtle), 3494 nucleotides long. Lineage: Eukaryota; Metazoa; Chordata; Testudines; Emydidae. The record is from RefSeq and is a predicted model, not a curated record.